Molecule: ribosomal RNA, 492 nt
Filed under: uncultured bacterium
Lineage: Bacteria
Description: partial 16S ribosomal RNA
Rfam family: Bacterial small subunit ribosomal RNA
Source: RNAcentral
AGUGAACGCUGGCGGUAGGCCUAACACAUGCAAGUCGAACGGCAGCACAGUAAGAGCUUGCUCUUACGGGUGGCGAGUGGCGGACGGGUGAGGAAUACAUCGGAAUCUACUUUUUCGUGGGGGAUAACGUAGGGAAACUUACGCUAAUACCGCAUACGACCUACGGGUGAAAGCAGGGGAUCUUCGGACCUUGCGCGAUUGAAUGAGCCGAUGUCGGAUUAGCUAGUUGGCGGGGUAAAGGCCCACCAAGGCGACGAUCCGUAGCUGGUCUGAGAGGAUGAUCAGCCACACUGGAACUGAGACACGGUCCAGACUCCUACGGGAGGCAGCAGUGGGGAAUAUUAGACAGUGGGCGCAAGCCUGAUCCAGCCAUACCGCGUGAGUGAAGAAGGCCUUCGGGUUGUAAAGCCCUUUUGUUGGGAAAGAAAAGCAGCAGGUUAAGACCCCGCUGUUCUGACGGUACCCAAAGAAUAAGCACCGGCUAACUUCGUG